GCAGGGACGCCGCCGCCAAUCAGGGCGCGCGGCUCUUGCCCUGCCAACCAUUGCAGGGUCCUCUCGGCCAAUCAGGGGCGGCGUCACACAAAAGAGAAAAAGCCCGGGGAGCCGUUGCUGGGUUGGGCCUCAGAAUUGAAGCGCGAGGAAGACACGACGCAAGCAGAAUCCUUCCGCGAGGAGAUGUAGUCCCUUUCCCGCCGGUUAUUUCGCGGGAAGAGGCUUCGGGGCCUACCUUUUGUAUCCUUGCUCGCCUGGUUCCAUCUUUCUAUCUUCCUGUCGAUCUAAAUAAGAAGAACCGAUGGAACACACAAGUGAUGAAUUUGUUCCACAAAUGAGUCUCAUAACAUCAAGAAGAAGACUGAGAAAAGAGAGAAGCACAAACACUGCCCUCAUCCUAGUCCUUUUGAAAGCCAUUCCUAGAAUUUGAAGAUCUGGGUCAAAAGUUGCUUGGUGUGCCAAACAUAAGUCUUCAGUUCUUCAAAAGUUAUCUGGAAUCCUGUUUUUUCAAGAAACAUUUCAAGUCCUAUGGUGCUGGUGUUAAAGGCCUAAAUCGGGCAUCCCUAAUCUGAUGUCGUCCAGAUGUAUUGAACUAUACCCUCCAUCAUCCCAAACCAAAAUAAUUAUUUUAGUUAGGGACAAUGGGAGACGGAUAUCAGUUUUGUGGGAGGGUAUCUUUCAGUCUUUUCAGACUAAUGAAAUCCAGAUGCAAUUCACAUGGGUUAGAAUUUCAGAAUAAAAGGAACAUAAAGAAUUCAUUGGAGAUGUAUCAUUUUCUAAAAUGAACGCUUUCCAAAAGUUGUAAAAGGAAGGUGCUCUAUCAAAUACAGCAUUCAAGUUGCUCAGAACAUUGUAUCCUUUUUGAAAAGGGGAUCCUCUGUAGAAUGCAUAUUUUCCUUUUAUUUCUGUUGUUGAUUGCCAUAGCUUUCAGGUUUCCACAGUUGCCUUUGGGCACAGGAAACCAGCAACUCCAUUCAUGUAAACUAGAGUAGUGGAGCUGAGAAAAUAGAUUUACCACUUUGGUAUGCCGCGUGUAUAAAUCAAGAUUUAGUCCUCCCUGGACCAGGAAAACAGAGAUGAAAUGUAAUCUAAGAGUGCAAAGUAUAAAGUCGGAAGCUUGUUGACUAAUAAUAAGCACUUUUAUAACCUUCCAGGAACCAGUGAAUAGGAACUGGCUGGGCUCCCAUGAGUGACCCAGUUCUUUAUAUAAAAAUGCCACUCAAUGUGUAACUAUAGAUCUUUUAUUCUCCCCCACUCCCACACAAAUCAGUCUUGCAUAGAGUGAACAUGGAGUGGGGGAAGUACUAAAUUUAGAUGAGCUUUCCCUAAUCCGAUGCUUUCCACAUUUGGGUGUGCUGUUGUGGGACGAUGGCAUUUGUAGUCCAGCCUAUAUAGAUGGCACUAGGUGAAGAAGAGCCAACAUAUGCCCCCCCCCCCCAUGUCAUUGUGUGAUAGGUCCUACAUCAGUCCUGAUCAAUAGUGGGGAGUGCUAGAAGUUGCAAGUCAACAACAUAAUAUAAUAAUAAUAACUUUAUUUUUAUACCCCGCCUCCAUCUCCCCGCAGGGACUCAGGGCAGCUAACAUGGGGCCAAGCCCGAAUUCCACAAUGAACAAAGUAAAAAUACAUUCACAAUAAAACAGACAUCAUCAACAUUUAAUAUUACACAUAUUAAACUAACAUUUUAACAACAAUAUAAUGGUAAAUAAAACUGCUAAAUAAGAACAACAUCUGGAGGACUGUACUUUGUCUACACAUGAUUUAGAGCAAAAUUUGAAAGUGCUAUCAAAAUAUCAAAAGGAACUCCAAGGGCCAUCUUUUCCAACCCCCAUACAAGAACACUCAGCCUUCUACUCUAUUAAAAACCUCCAAAGAAGGAGACUAUCUACUGAUGCUCUUGCCAUCAGAAAGUUGUUCAUACACUUCCUCAUUUUCCCAGGCUGAGGGCAUUGUUUUAGUAAAACAAAUUUGCAAUAACAUCCAAGUUCUAGAUCCAUUUGUCUCUCUGUGGUGCAUGCUUUAUAUAGAGCUGAAUGAAGAUAGUUUUAAAGAACAUGAAAGCUGAUCAUUCUGCCAGUCUGACUUAUGCCUAGAUAGUUUUUUUCUUCAUCAUUCAUUAUUGUAUUUAGUGCCUUUAGAAAUAUCUUUAGCAAAGGUAUAUAUAUAUUCAUCUACAAAGUAGAUGUGUUCUUGGGCAUUAUGUCUUCAACAGAAAACUUGGAACCAAAGCAGAAAUAUCAUGGAAAGAAUAUGGAAAUGAUACCCCAUUACCAAAAGAAUAGUAGCUUGAACAUGUUUCAGCAGAUUCAGAACAAUAGAUAUACAUACUGUAACUGGAAUGAGACAGCAACUUCUUAUAUGAGUAAACAAAACACUUUGAACCUUCUGGAGACAAGUUUUUUUUCACAAUGCAUCCAGGGAUUUUUUUUUCUUUCACCAAUCUCAGCUUUUCUUAUUUUGGUUGCCACAUUUACAGAUCUAUAAUUUAUAAUGUGUUGGACUAGCUAGUGAGGCAAGCUUAUUUUUAACUCCAUUUUGCUUUCCAUACAUGUUCUAUAAAGGAUUCUGGAAGCAGCUGGUGUUUACCUCACCUGCUAUAAGAUGAACACAUUGCUACAAUUGUACCAGAUAUAAUAGAAUCCCAUUCUUUCCCAGGUCAAGGUGCUUUAGAGCAUUGUUUACUUCAGCAUUGUACCAUAGAAAAUUUGUGUUUCUCCAGCCCCUUUUCAUCAUCUUCCCACAGUGGAUGCUGCUAAAAAAACUUCCAGCUAGAUAGAAGAUGUAUAGAAUCUAGACCGCGAUUCUUUGAGGAUUCUGCCGGGCAAGAAAGGCUAAUAAUUUAUAGCUUACAAAGACAAGAUAAAGGGGAGCUGGGGUGCGUAAAGACACUUUGUAAAAAUCUUGUUUCUCUAUGGUUUUGCUAAAUGAGAUGUGUCUAUUCUUUCUUAAUGCCCCCCAUAGAAAAGGAGCAUAGCUGAUACGCUUAUUGCAACUUUGAAAUAGCAUUUUAAUUUGAAUUCAUCAUGCCCCAAUAUGGCUUCAGCUGAGAGGUCCCCCUCAAUUCUGGCAGUAUUCAGAGGAAAAGGUGGCAGCAGCCUGCCAUGUUUAGGUCCAGUCCAUGGUCUAUUCAAAUCAUAAUGAGAAAUUGGGUACUUGAGGUUGCUUUCUUCCUGCGCCACUCCAUUCACAUCAAGUAGUUUAAAUGGUAUACAUAAAUUUCUGAUCUCCAUAAGCCACUCUGGGGGUGUGUAGGAUUAAAAUGCUUCAAUUUACAAGUAAACAUCUAUGUUAGGUAGUAAUUUGUAACACCCGAAACUAAUAGGUUUUCCCUGAUUGCUAAGAAGUUAUGAUGUAGAAGUGGAAUGUCUUUUCUAAACAUGGAACAAACUAUGACUUUAAAAUUGUACAUAUAAUUUUGUCCAGUUUUACAACAGUUUUGCCCCUUCCAAAUCUGGAGCAGGGAUGCAAAAUAUGUGAUCCUCCAAAUGUAAUUUGAAAGUCACCACCAUCUUUUUUAAGCCAUGACUAAUGGGAAUUGCAGUCCAAUAUCUGGAUGACCUCAUAUUCCCUAUCCUGUCCUGGGGAUAGAUUAGGACCCUUUGUUCAGAAUACCAAAAGAGGUUCUACAUUCAAACUGAAGGUUUACCAUUGACUCAUUCAUCCUUUGUUAUUCUGCAUUAAUUCUCCAGCAUAAAUUUAACAGUGUUCAGAGAAAAACUAACUUUGGGCUAAUUUUUCACUCCAUAUCCAUUCACUCCAGCUUUUUGGAGGGCUGUUUGUAGUAAUUUCUUUCUACUUCCAUUUUUAAUUGAAUAUAGUUUGGAGCUCCCAUGGCACAGCGGGUUAAAUAGCUGAACUUGCUGACCAAAAGGUUGGCGAUUCGAAUCCGGGGAGCUGGGUGAGUUCCUGCUGUUAGAUGCAGCUUCUGCCCACCUAGCAGUUUGAAAACAUGCAAAUGUGAAUAGAUCAAUAGGUACCGCUCCGGCAAGAAGAUAAUGGUGCUCCAUGCAGUCAUGCCAGCCACAUGACCUUGAAGGUGCCUAUGGACAACGCCAGAUCUUCAGCUUAGAAAUGGAGAUGAACACCAACUCCAAGAGUCAGGUACGUCUAAAUAAUGUCAGGAGAAAACCUUACUUUUACCUUAUAGUUUGCUGUGGUAGUCCUAUUGUUUGAAAGGCCAAAUUUCUCUUUGACUUUUAGAAAAUAUGAGUUGUGUUAUAAUACAAAAAGGCUAUUUCACUGAUACACUAUUAAUGCUGAAACAUUUUUAAAGGGGAGGAGAGAAGGAGACUUUUUGUUCUGACAUACCUCAGAAAGUUGCUCAAGAGUGGGAAUAAAAUGUUGCAAUUGGUACUACAAACUCCCAGGAAAUAGUCCAGAACAACAGAGAUAUUGUUUGAAUAUUUUUAAAAACAAUAUCUGAAAACUGUAACAACAAAUAAUGCAACCUUCAAGUGCAUAAUCUAGAUUCUAGAGGAAUCUUUUGUGUGUUUGCAGCAGAACAUGGCUGUUCAUAACAGUUUAACCCAGGCACGGGAAAACUUCGGCCAUCCAGGUGUUUUGGAUUUCAACUCCCACAAUUCCUAACAGCCAUUAGGCUGGAGAGCCAAAGUUUGCCCAUGCCUGGUUUAGCCUCUUACUUUGUCUUCAUGCUCAUAAAACUGACACCCCCCUCAUUGUAAAAAUAAUACCUUUGAAGCAUUGCAUUGAAACAUUUUUGAAGGCAUAUAGUUUGCCUGUGUUAUGCCAGAAAUACGUGUGGACAAAACUGAUCAUUUGCAGGAAAUUUCUAUUAAUUGGCAAGUAGUAUAUCCGUAUAGUAGCAAAGGGGCCCAAACCAUGUUUAACCCAUGGGAGUGGAAAAAAAUAUUAUAAGUUGUAACAACAUGCAUACAUGUCUUUAUGUACUAAACAGAAGGACAUGACAAUAUACUUUGGUGCCUCAGGAAAUUGUGCUGGCUUUAAACAAAGCAGGAAAAGUUUGUCUAAUGUCUAUGCAAAUUGUGUCUGGAUUAGGCAUGAUCCAGAUUUAACCAAGCACUGCUAGCAAGUUAAAAAAGCAUUUUCUCAGUGUGCCAUCUCAGCUCAUGAAUGCAUGUGUUCAGGGGCAUUGGGAGCUUAACCUUCAAAGUGAAGUUCUCCUUUGACAAGAGAACUGAGAAGGGAAGAGAUGAAUCAUAUCAUACUGGGCUGGCCCGACUAAAAAGGAGCUACAUGUAUUAUUAUCCAGGUCUGAAUACAAAUGUGAGUAAAACCUCCAGGACCCUUUCAUUUCUGAGAUGUUUUAUAUGAUUACGGCAUAGUAUCUUCUGAGCUGGUUGCCACAUGCCAAUACACCAUGUUCAUCCUUAUUUAGAAAGACUUUUUUUUACCUCAUAUCAGAUAAAUUCAGGUCAGGAACUCUUUAAAACAAUAGUAAAAUACAUGGGAUGGUUUAAAACAAUGCAGGAGAAUUAAAGAACAAACUAAAACUUGAGAGAAGUAGGACCAGAGACUGUCCAAGGUGUAAUUAGGCAUAAACUAUUUGCCCGCAUGCUACCAUCCAUUUGUAAACAAAAGUGGUAAAAUCUUCCCCUGCCCCCCAGCAAUCUUUUAGGAAUAGAGUUAUUAAAAGGUACUAAAGUAAGUCAAAAAAUAACAGGGCCACAUCUGUGCUGGCCAUUUUGGUCGGUGUAUAGCCAGCUCAGCUCUGUGGUGGCCAAACGCUACAUGGAAUUGAUCCAGGAUAAUGUGGGGCAAGGCUGUUGUUCUCCAGCCUCAACAUAGCUUCUACUUGUUGGCCAUAGCCUGCAGCGAUGUCAGCCUGGGUGAAAAGAAGCUCUGGAUAGGGAGUGGAAAUUGUAGGGGGGAUUUGUCUUCUCCCUUUGUGCCCUGUCUCUUCGGCCAACAUUGCUGCAGGCUGAUAGGUAGGACCCAUGUUGCAGCAGGAGACCAACGCGACAUGGAAGGGUAGCCAUCCGACAGUGGCAAACCACAUUUGGUGAUACUGGGUAAUGGGGAAUCCCUCCCAAUUCCACAGCAGCUGGAGGACUCACUGUGUGACCCAUAUCCGGGCCGAUCCAGCAUAUAGCACAUUGGAUCAAAUCCAGAGUAAGGGUCAGUUUAGAUCUGCCCCAUGUUUUCUAGAUUACUGGAGUUUUUCACUGUAUUAUUAUAGCACUAUGAUUUCACCUUAACCACACUGACACUAUAAUGCAGCUUGGAAUCAGUUUAGGAGGAACCAUUUUUUCCGCAUGGGUGUUUAGAUUGAUAGGUCUGGAACCGGUUUGAGACCAUGAAGGUGAUUACAUUAAGCACAGAACCUGGCUUCAAACUGCUGUGCUUGGUUCCCACCCUCAUUACUUACAGAGAUGCAUACCAGGUCUCUGGAGGCAUAUGGGUUAAAAAAAAGUGACAAGAGUAGAAGUAAUCAAUCAGCCCUCCCAGGGUUUCAGUUAGCCCCCUGCUGCCUAGCUGUGGCCUUGGCACACAUUUUGGCAGUCACCCACCCUGAAAAGUAGAAUGUGCUUUAGCAGGAGUGGGUGUCUACAAUGCACUCUCCAUUUUGCCAGGUUGAUUUUGCUCUAAAUCUGAGAUGCACUGGCACUUGUUGCAGCGCAUUAUAUGUCUGAAAUUGGACUUUCCUAAGACUUUUUAAAAUGUGCUGUAAACCUUUAAAUGUGCACUGCAUUGUGGGUUUGCUAAGUGCAUCUUGUGGCUGCUCUGAUUUCAAGUCCUCUAAAAUAUAGCCUAAAACACCUAGUAUUUGUUCCAGUCUCCACUGAAGUACUAGAUCUACCCUGCUUAGCUUCCGAGAUCAGACUGGAAAUAGUUAUACAACGUGUUUGAAAAAGAACUCCCUAGCUUUAAGUAUAAAUACAUUAUAACUAGUGAGUUCUUUUUCAAACACUCUGUAUAAAGGAUAUUCUAGAAACAAUUGGCUCUGAGAUAUAUGUGAAAAAAAAUACUUGCUUGCAUUCCACUCUGGAAAUUGGUAGAAAUGUUCCAGUUUUAAAGUAACUGGGUUGAAGGAAUAGGACAUUCACCCUUACCCAGAAAUCCAAAUGAAUGAAGUUGCAUCAUGGAUUCUCCUGUGAUGACAUACGAAUUUGCCUAUUACAGAUGACAACUGGGACACAUGUGGCCAAAUAAUAUUGGGAUGUGUUCAAGAUGGAAAAGUUAUUAAUGUGGAAGGAUAAACAAGCUAGAAGAGGUUGCAGGAGUUUGCUUUUGCCUGGGCCUACUGAGAAAAGCAAGAUUCUGCUCUUUUCUCCUAUCUCUGUAGUAAAACCAGGAAGGUCUACAUGGACUUCACAGGUCAUCUCAUAUUCAGGUGUUCAGCAAUCCCAGCUUUGUUUUGUGGCAUUCAGAAGCCUGCCCCUAAAUCCCUUGGACGGUCAUGCCUUUAAAAGAAGCUCUGGAUUUUGAAGAGGCACGAAUACAGGGCAAAAGAAAGAAAAGUACCAAGAGGAAGGCACAUCAAGCAAAUCCUUAUCAUAACCACCUGCCAUAUGGAAAUAUAUGUCAUCAGUGUCAAAGAUGAAAUGGAUCCAAAAUAGGUCUUCAUGGUCACUUGUGGACCCACCACCAAAACUCUACUUUUGGAAGACAAUCUACACAGCCACGAGUGAUCGCCUAUGAUAUGAUGAUAAUGGUAUGAUCAUAAAGGUUUGCUUGUGCUGGCUUUAUCCUACCAGACACUCUCCUUUCACACACAAACACGAUCCAGCUUCAAUCCAUGAGUAUCCACCAAGCUUCCAUCAACUGGCUUCUGCCGGAUCCGUGGCUGACAUUAGCCAGCUAUGGUCACAAAACUCCACUGACUUUGGGUUCAUAGACAUGCCACCUACUAGUACUUAGCAAGUUUACCAGCUUUCGCUACUGAACUUGCCUUCUCAUCCUGUUGCCUGAAUUAUCCUCUUUUGGAUCAUUUUGGAGCAUAUUAGUUUAACCAUAAUAUUCUUGCCAGUGUUUCCUUUUUUAAAUAGACCUGUACCUUACUCGUAUCCCCAUAACCUAACAUCACCCAGUUGCUUCUUUUUAGUCAAUUGACUUGUAUCUUUCUUUAUUUAAAUAGAAUCACAGCAUUUAAUUUUCUAGCCCUUGGUUAAGUUAUUCUUGUAAUUUCUAAUUUCUUCAAUGCUAAUCUUUAAGAAACAACAAUAAAACUUGGAAGGCUGAUUAUCAUUGCAUCUUCUACCAGAGCUGAGAGGCCUUUCAAUUACUCUGGACUUCUGGCUGAUUAUGUUAUCACAUCUGUUCUGAAAAAAAUCCCCAGAACUUCAUGUUCCCAUAUUCAUCGUCCGCUACACAUGUGAUUGAUUCUCUUGGGAAGCAGGCUAACAUACUGUCACAAGAUGGGUAAUAUAAUUGUUUCUAUUUUAGUUUGUGUUAAUUAGAAUAUGAAUUGAUGGUGGUUCAAGUACUCCCAAGGAUAAAUAUUAUAGAAUCAAAAUGAUAAAUGAAAUGAAUGGGCCUUUUUAUUGAUCCAUGGUUCCCUAUGCUUAAAAACAGAAUUAAUAUAGGCUUAAACAGAUAUGUAAGAACAUAAGGCAGUGAUGGGAGUUUUGAAGCCCUCCAGACAUUGCUGAACUACCUACAACCCCUAACAUUCCUCACAAUUAACUAUGUUGACUAGGGCAGCUGGGAGCCACCAUCCAACAAUUCUGGGCAGCUGAACAAUUCUCGAGUCUGACAUAAAUCCAUAUAGGCAUAAGGAGCAGUGAAGAAUGAGUAAAGAAUACCGAGAUAAUGUGAACAAAGACAUCAUAAUAAGAAUAGAAAAUAAAGUGACUAAUAAAAGUGACGAGAAUAUGAAUCAUGCCCUGUAUUGUUGUCAGGUCCUACACUUCAUAUUCUAACUGAAACCUCUAGUUCAUUUAGAUUGAAAGCAUUCCAAUUUCCAAGCUGUUCUAGCUGCAUAUAUUCAAGAGCAAUUCAACAGUGCUAAUCCAAGGUCUACAUUUUCUUCAAUCUACAACAAGGAUUCUUCUAGUGCUAUAAACUUCUUGCAAUAUAGCUCCUUGGGUUUUGCCUGUUGCUGUUGCUUCUAUAUUCACUAAUCAAUUCGUAUUUGGUUCUAUUUGCAGCACUUUCGUGGAUCUGCACAUAGGACUCAUCUACAUGGGCAUUAUAACCCAUAUUUACACUAAUUUCGAUCGUGUCUGCCCCCACAAAGUUCUUACAUUUCUGGUAGUUAUUGCGUAACAGGUUUAUUCUGGUUUGGCCUCAUAUUAAGAACUGAUGGGAGAUGCUCUGGAAUGUGUUUGAAAAGGGGGUGGAUCUUGCUCGUGUCACCGCUGUCAUUGUUCCCAGAUGGUGGCAGUACACUGUGUGAGCUCCUUGUUGUUGCGGAUGUCCCAUUCUGACAUCAUAGGUGCCAUGUGACCCAAAAGAAAAGUGGGGAAUUGGCUCUCUCCCUGGUUGUGCAGCUACCUGCAAUGGCUACCAUGUUUCCCCGAAAAUAAGAGUGUCUUAUAUUAGGUUUUGCUCCCAAAGAUGCUCUAGGUUUUAUUUUCAGGGGAUGUCUUACUUUUCCAUGAAGAAGAAUUCACAUUUAUUGAUGAACAAAAAAAUGAACAUUAUAUCCUGUACAGUAGUUGUCAUCGCAAACCAGCAUAACCAGACAAACUUUGAAUCCUAUCAAGAAUUUCUUGUUACUACCAUUAUUUCCAUGUACAACAAUCUAUGGUAUGUACAUUUACCAAACCUGCAUGCUCUGGUGUUCUGUUCGGCGGGCAUGCUUCCAAACACAAACAGUUCUAGGUCUUACUUUCGGGGAGGCCUUAUAUUUAGCAAUUCAGCAAAACCUCUACUAGGUCUUAUUUUCUGGGGAUGUCUUAUUUUAGGGGAAACAGGGUAGGAGGUCACAUAGAACUCUGUUGCCAUCUGGGAGGAGAGAUAGUGACAUAAACGGUAAUGUGAUGAUCUGGAAGUUGACCAUAGACUUACGUUGAAGGAGCUAUAGAGAAUACUAUGUUUUCUACAGAGAUUCAGUGGUCAACAUACAUGAAAGUAGUUUUUCUGUACACUGUUUUUCAACUUUGCCCCUAUCCUCCACAAAAGGAGAAAACCUAUUGUAUAACAUCAACGAGAAGUUUGCAAUAGGCAAGACAUGAUUUCUAAAUAAUCUGAAGACCACUAGACUUGCAAGGAAAUUUAAGAAGUCAACAGGUUCCAAUAUUCUGGAUUCAUGCUUUAAAGUUUGGAGGGAAAAUAUUUUGCUUCUAUUUGUAACUUUAUUUAACUUUCCUAAGGUGGCUGUUCAUCAAGAAUAGUUGUCUAAACAGAAGAUUGUUAGGAAUCCUAGAACAGAACGCAAGGCAACAAUGCAUAAGACAGCAUUUGACCCAUGCGAUGUUCUCGUUCCACUGUUUAGUGAAGGCAUGCCCAUAUAAGUACUAACAUAACUCUAACCUUAAUUACAGCAAAAGGAGGGAAGUUACGGAGGGCAUGUUCCAGUAAGAUCCUAAUAUAAUUAUAUUGUGCCUUAGUGAACUAUUUAUGUGCAAACAGUUAUUUCAUAGGUCUUUUCAAGUCUCAUAGUUACAGUAUAUUUAUUGUCUCAUUAGACAUAUAAACAUCCUUCCUAAUAUCAUUUUCUCAAAACCAAACCAAAUCUAUUGUGGUUUCCCUGUCUACUGAUAGUGUUCUUUGGCUGAUAGUGUUCUUUGUAGCCUCUUAUCAGGUAGAAUGUUUUUCUCAUUCUUGUUAACCCGCACAUCAAGGUCUCACAACAGUUGUCAGUUUGGCUCAGCAAAAGUUACAAGCAACUUUACAGAGCUUGAGUCUUAUCUUUUUGAAUUCAUUCCAGCUGCUCUUCCCUGUGCUUGAACAUACCAUAGUGCUUCCUUUGUCCUAAAGUAGAUCUGGAUUAACAAUUGGCUGUUGCUCACUUUUAUUGUAAUCAUUUAUGCACCUUUAUUUUAUAUUGUUUUACCGUUUCGGAGAGUUUUAAAAUUGAAAGGUAACACAGGCUCCUUCCACACAGCUGUAUAAAAUCCCACAUUAUCUGCUUUGAACUGGGUUAUAUAGCAGCGUGGACUCAGAUAAUCUAGUUCAAAGCAGAUAUUGUGGAUUAUCUGCCUCGAUAUUCUGGGUUAUAUGGCUGUGUGGAAGGGCCCACAGUAACAUUUUGAAAUAAAAACUCUAGAUAUAGUGACAUGUUCUCCAGCUAUUUAGCAGUGUAGAAAGAGCUGCUGGUUUCCCAGCAUUUCUAUGACUUGUUGGGUGUAUCUACACUGUCAAAUUAUUGCAAUUUGAAACAAUUUUAAAUGCUGUGGCUCAAUGCUAUGGAGGGCCCUUCCUUACAGCCAUAUAACCUAGAAUAUCAAGGCAGAAUAGCCCACAAUAUCUGCUUUGAACUGGGUUAUCUAUGUCCACACUGCCAUAUAUCCCAGUUCAGAGCAGAUAAUAUGGGAUUUUAUUCAGUUGUGUUGAAAGGAUUGGGAUAAUUGGAUUUGUAGUUUGAGUCACAAGCACUAUUUGGCAGAAAAGGCUGAAGAUUUUGUAAAACUACAGCUCCCAGAGUUCCUUAGCAUAGCUUUUUAGAAUUUCUGUUUGGGGUAUGUGGGAAUAUUUUCAAGCCAUGGUUGAUGGAAUCUAUGGAUGCUGAAUCCAUACAUACAGAGAAACUCUUUUAACAGAAACAGACGAUUUCAAUUGAAUUGAAUGCCUAAGGGCAAACUUAUGCCACUUAGUAAUACAAAUGUAUUUAACAAGAAAAAACAUUAACAACCUUGUGUGCUAAUUACAAGCUUUGCUAUUCUGCAUUGUUAAUAAGCCAAGACAGAAAACGCACUUAUAAUCCAACAUUCUAAAGAUCUUCUUGAUUCCAGGGUCUGGAUUCACAUCACGGGAGUCAAGAGGCAGUCAAAUCUCUUUGGGAGCAUUCUCCAGAAGAACACAGAAAGGCAGAAAACAAAGGAACAGAGAGUAAAAUAAUCUUACAAUAAGAAUCCAGCAGAAUGAUACAAAUCUAUAAACUAAGCUGUCACUUUGAAGUUGAAAAGAUAUGGUGGAAAGGCUUUAAGUUUUGGGGAAAGCGUAACUGACUGAUCUAAAUUGUUUAAAUAUUGCAAUCAAUUCAAUUCUAUUUUAAUAUUUAUCUUUUGUAGGUUUUAAUUGUUUUAUUCUUUUUAAAUUGUGAGCUGCUUUGAGUCCCAAUUGUAAUGGAGAAGCAAUAUGGUAAGAACAAUAAGAACAAGUACUACUACAGCCAACCCUCCACAUUUGCAGAUUUGAUUGUUAAUUUUUUCUGGGGAUCUCAACAUCCUUCAACACAACUCUAUUGUCAACUUUUGCCAGAAGUCAUGCUGGAGCACCUAAAAAUUCUUAGAAACAACAUUUCUCAUGGAAUCUCUAGGUUGGAGCUUUCCAGUCUAUGGCCCCAUCUACACUGCCAUAUAAUCCAGUAUCUGAAUCCAGAUUAUUUGAUUUGACCUGGAUUAUAUGGCAGUAUAGACUCAUAUAAUCCAGGUCAAAGCAGAUACCGUAUAUACUCGAGUAUAAGCCAAGUUUUUCAACCCUUUUUAGGGCUGAAAAAGGCCCCCUCGGCUUAUACUCAAGUAAGGAUCCUGGCUGGUUUAUAUUCAGGUCCGCUUAUGCUCGAGUAUAUAGGUAAUCAGAGUUGGACAGUCUUAUCAAAGUCUUAUUAUUUUAAAUUACAGUUUUAUGUAAAUAUUCAAAAGCGUUUAACCUACUGAUGCCUCAAUUAAUGUAAUUUUAUUGAUAUCUAUUUUUAUUUUUGAAAUUUACCAAUAGCUGCUGCAUUUCCCACCCUCAUCUUAUACUCGAGUCAAUAAGUUUCUCCAGUUUUUUGUGGUAAAAUUAGGUGCCUUGGCUUAUAUUCGGAUCGGUUUAUACUCGAGUAUAUUUGGAUUCAGAAGCUGGGUUAUUUGGCAGUGUAGAUCUAACCUGUGUGUCACGACACAUUAGUAUGUUGGCUGAAGUGUGCAGGUAUGUCAUGUGAACAUAAUGAGAAACGUCUGCAUCUAUGUGAAAUAAACAAUAAAUCAUAUGUUUUUAAAGUAUAUAAAUGAAAGGUUUUCAUGACAUAUGUGUUAUAUAAUUUAUAUAUAUAAAUUAUGUGAGUGUGUGUGUGUGUGUGUCCAUAUCUCUCAGAAGGAGUUGGUUGAACUUGUGGUUUGCUAGUAAAACUGAAUUACUGUGUUCUGAAAUGAUGCAUGUUUGUAAAGCUCUGCUUUAAGUCCUCCAGUACAAUCUGGUUGAAAUUGUUCAUAGAUUCAUGCUGCAGAAAUUAGAUAUUCUCUUGGGUUACAAAAAAACAGCAAUUCUAUUAUUUGUGGUUUUUCACUUUCUUUCUUGUGCCACGAAUCCCAGAGAAUGUGGAGAGCUGAAAGUAUUACCACUUCCGCAUCCUCUGUAAUAUGAAGCUACUUGUGAUUCACAGCAAUAUUGGAGAACUAUUUUUCACCCAUCUCACUUCUCAUUCUUAGAAUUUAAGCCCCCGUGUCACUUGCAAAUGAAAACUUAGGGGAGUCCAAUUCAAAUUAUGCCUUCUAAAACUUAGACCACGGGAUAGAAGGAAUCUACUUUGCACCUAGCGGGAGAGUCUGGCACAGAGUUUUAAAUUCAAGCAGGAUAUUUUAAGUUGGGUAGAAAGAGCAAUUAGCAGGUUGGAUGUCAGUCUUGAUUGUCUUCAUGCAAGCAGCUCUAAGGGAGCUGUAGGGCUGAUUUGAUGCAGAACUAAUAUGGUUUCACCCAAGCUUAAACAAUAGACAAGCAAUAAUUCUCAUAUUUGGCACUAACUUAUGUUUUCCAUAUUCUUAUACAUUAGGGUUCCACUGAAUGUGAUAUUUUACCAAUAUGUUUUGCCAUGGGGCCAAAUAGGAAUGUUGUUCUUGAGUUAGCUUCAACUUAUGAUGACCCUAUGAAUGCAAAACCUCCAACAGCCAUGGUUAGGAAUUGCUUUGCUCGGAUACUGCAGGACUGUGGUUUCCUUGGUGUACACAUAUAAUGGAGACUUCUCCUUUUUCUGCUACCUCCCACUUCAUUCAGUGCGCUCAUCUUUUCCAAUGAAAUGUCUCAUGGCAUGUGCAAAGUGCAAAAGCCUCAAUUUAGGCAGCUUGACUAUUAGGGAGAGUUCAAGCUUGAUUUGCCCGGGCUGUGGCGCAGGCUGGUGAGCAGCCAGCUGCAGCCAGCUGCAACAAAUCACUCUGACCAACAGGUCAUGAGUUCGAGGCCAGCUCGGAGCCUGCAUUUGUCUUUGUCUUUGUUCUGUGUUAAGUCAUUGAAUGUUUGCCUUAUAUGUAUAAUGUGAUCUGUCCUGAGUCCCCUUCAGGGUGAGAAGGGUGGAAUAUAAAUACUAUAAAUAAAUAAAUUUGCUUUAGCACUCA
Molecule: long non-coding RNA, 14334 nt
Organism: Anolis carolinensis (green anole)
Lineage: Eukaryota; Metazoa; Chordata; Lepidosauria; Squamata; Anolidae
Exons: 3
Source: RefSeq, a predicted model, not a curated record